CAAGGCGCUUGAGAGACUCGGGUGAAGGAACUAGGCAAAAUGGUGCCGUAACUUCGGGAGAAGGCACGCUGGUGUGUAGGUGAAGCCCCUGCGGGUGGAGCUGAGACCAGUCGAAGAUACCAGCUGGCUGCAACUGUUUAUUAAAAACACAGCACUGUGCAAACACGAAAGUGGACGUAUACGGUGUGACGCCUGCCCGGUGCCGGAAGGUUAAUUGAUGGGGUUAUCCGUAAGGAGAAGCUCUUGAUCGAAGCCCCGGUAAACGGCGGCCGUAACUAUAACGGUCCUAAGGUAGCGAAAUUCCUUGUCGGGUAAGUUCCGACCUGCACGAAUGGCGUAAUGAUGGCCAGGCUGUCUCCACCCGAGACUCAGUGAAAUUGAACUCGCUGUGAAGAUGCAGUGUACCCGCGGCAAGACGGAAAGACCCCGUGAACCUUUACUAUAGCUUGACACUGAACAUUGAGCCUUGAUGUGUAGGAUAGGUGGGAGGCUUUGAAGCGUGGACGCCAGUCUGCGUGGAGCCAACCUUGAAAUACCACCCUUUAAUGUUUGAUGUUCUAACGUUGGCCCCUUAUCGGGGUUGCGGACAGUGUCUGGUGGGUAGUUUGACUGGGGCGGUCUCCUCCCAAAGCGUAACGGAGGAGCACGAAGGUUAGCUAAUCCUGGUCGGACAUCAGGAGGUUAGUGCAAUGGCAUAAGCUAGCUUGACUGCGAGCGUGACGGCGCGAGCAGGUGCGAAAGCAGGUCAUAGUGAUCCGGUGGUUCUGAAUGGAAGGGCCAUCGCUCAACGGAUAAAAGGUACUCCGGGGAUAACAGGCUGAUACCGCCCAAGAGUUCAUAUCGACGGCGGUGUUUGGCACCUCGAUGUCGGCUCAUCACAUCCUGGGGCUGAAGUAGGUCCCAAGGGUAUGGCUGUUCGCCAUUUAAAGUGGUACGCGAGCUGGGUUUAGAACGUCGUGAGACAGUUCGGUCCCUAUCUGCCGUGGGCGCUGGAGAAUUGAGGGGGGCUGCUCCUAGUACGAGAGGACCGGAGUGGACGCAUCACUGGUGUUCGGGUUGUCAUGCCAAUGGCACUGCCCGGUAGCUAAAUGCGGAAGAGAUAAGUGCUGAAAGCAUCUAAGCACGAAACUUGCCCCGAGAUGAGUUCUCCCUGAGACUUUAAGUCUCCUGAAGGAACGUUAAAGACGAUGACGUUGAUAGGCCGGGUGUGUAAGCGCAGCGAUGCGUUGAGCUAACCGGUACUAAUGAACCGUGAGGCUUAACCUU
Molecule: non-coding RNA, 1266 nt
Filed under: Klebsiella pneumoniae IS39
Lineage: Bacteria; Pseudomonadati; Pseudomonadota; Gammaproteobacteria; Enterobacterales; Enterobacteriaceae
Description: LSU rRNA
Rfam family: Bacterial large subunit ribosomal RNA
Source: RNAcentral